RNAcentral lists this transfer RNA (84 nucleotides) under Pleomassaria siparia CBS 279.74. It matches the Rfam family "tRNA". From Rfam's summary of the family: Transfer RNA (tRNA) molecules are approximately 80 nucleotides in length. Their secondary structure includes four short double-helical elements and three loops (D, anti-codon, and T loops). Further hydrogen bonds mediate the characteristic L-shaped molecular structure. tRNAs have two regions of fundamental functional importance: the anti-codon, which is responsible for specific mRNA codon recognition, and the 3' end, to which the tRNAs corresponding amino acid is attached (by aminoacyl-tRNA synthetases). tRNAs cope with the degeneracy of the genetic code in two manners: having more than one tRNA (with a specific anti-codon) for a particular amino acid; and 'wobble' base-pairing, i.e. permitting non-standard base-pairing at the 3rd anti-codon position. Lineage: Eukaryota; Fungi; Ascomycota; Dothideomycetes; Pleosporales; Pleomassariaceae. The record is from Rfam by way of RNAcentral.
GGCCGAAUGGUCUAGUGGUAUGAUUCUUGCUUUGGGUUCUUCCUAAAUUGUAAGAGGCCCCGGGUUCAAAUCCCGGUUCGGCCC